AGUUUGAUCAUGGCUCAGAUUGAACGCUGGCGGCAUGCUUUACACAUGCAAGUCGAACGGUAACAGGCCGCAAGGUGCUGACGAGUGGCGAACGGGUGAGUAAUGCAUCGGAACGUGCCCAGUCGUGGGGGAUAACGCAGCGAAAGCUGCGCUAAUACCGCAUACGAUCUAUGGAUGAAAGCGGGGGACCGUAAGGCCUCGCGCGAUUGGAGCGGCCGAUGUCAGAUUAGGUAGUUGGUGGGGUAAAGGCUCACCAAGCCAACGAUCUGUAGCUGGUCUGAGAGGACGACCAGCCACACUGGGACUGAGACACGGCCCAGACUCCUACGGGAGGCAGCAGUGGGGAAUUUUGGACAAUGGGCGCAAGCCUGAUCCAGCAAUGCCGCGUGCAGGAAGAAGGCCUUCGGGUUGUAAACUGCUUUUGUACGGAACGAAAAGGCUCUGGUUAAUACCUGGGGCACAUGACGGUACCGUAAGAAUAAGCACCGGCUAACUACGUG
This 500-nucleotide ribosomal RNA is filed under the name uncultured bacterium. RNAcentral's name for it is "bacterial SSU rRNA". It matches the Rfam family "Bacterial small subunit ribosomal RNA", at positions 10 to 507 of the family's 1533-position model. The record is from RNAcentral.